UCCGUAGGGUGAACCUGCGGAGGGAUCAUUACCGAGUUUACAACUCCCAAACCCAAUGUGAACCAUACCAAACUGUUGCCUCGGCGGGGUCACGCCCCGGGUGCGUCGCAGCCCCGGAACCAGGCGCCCGCCGGAGGGACCAACCAAACUCUUUACUGUAGUCCCCUCGCGGACGUUAUUUCUUACAGCUCUGAGCAAAAAAUUCAAAAUGAAUCAAAACUUUCAACAACGGAUCUCUUGGUUCUGGCAUCGAUGAAGAACGCAGCGAAAUGCGAUAAGUAAUGUGAAUUGCAGAAUUCAGUGAAUCAUCGAAUCUUUGAACGCACAUUGCGCCCGCCAGUAUUCUGGCGGGCAUGCCUGUCCGAGCGUCAUUUCAACCCUCGAACCCCUCCGGGGGGUCGGCGUUGGGGAUCGGGAACCCCUCAGACGGGAUCCCGGCCCCGAAAUACAGUGGCGGUCUCGCCGCAGCCUCUCCUGCGCAGUAGUUUGCACAACUCGCACCGGGAGCGCGGCGCGUCCACGUCCGUAAAACACCCAACUUUCUGAAAUGUUGACCUCGGAUCAGGUAGGAAUACCCGCUGAACUUAAGCAUAUCAAUAAGCGGAGGAA
This 609-nucleotide ribosomal RNA is filed under the name Trichoderma sp. BAB-4499. RNAcentral's name for it is "eukaryotic LSU rRNA". The stretch from base 218 to 371 matches the Rfam family "5.8S ribosomal RNA". The record is from RNAcentral. Lineage: Eukaryota; Fungi; Ascomycota; Sordariomycetes; Hypocreales; Hypocreaceae.